Rosa chinensis is the source of this 1769-nucleotide long non-coding RNA. RefSeq lists it as uncharacterized. The record is from RefSeq and is a predicted model, not a curated record. NCBI's taxonomy places the organism in Eukaryota, Viridiplantae, Streptophyta, Magnoliopsida, Rosales, Rosaceae. The transcript has 3 exons.
UUGCAGAUUUAUCUUUGUUUCUAUAUCUUUCGAUUUUGAUUUCUUAUUCUUAUAUUGAACUGUUGUUUGGGAAUGUCUUUGAAUUUUCUAGGUACUUUUCAUACUCGGGUAGUCUCUAUACGUCUUGAAGGAAUCGGAAAAUUUUGGUUACAGGUAUGGUUUGGGGAUUUCAUUGAUUCUUGGUUUCACAUUUUCAAUUAAUCAUAAUAAGCAAUUGCUGCUCAUGAACUGUUCGUCAAUUGGGAUUUUGCUUCUUUCUUCUUUUUUAUUUUUUUAUUUUUUACCGCUUGGUUUUCUUUCAAUUGUUGCAGGUAAAUUAGAUGGGCGAUUUCUUAACAUUGUGAGCAAAUGAUGUCUCUAAUGUUAGUUCCAGUAAAGCAAGAUAGUAAGUACUACUGUAGCCACCACAGUUGCAGGUGAUAUUUUGUUUUAUUUGGCUUCUUAUUGGUUUCUGUAAGAUAAUGAUCCCUUGCUUAUAUUAAUGGUUCUUAUGUUCGCUUUAUUUUGUUAGUAUAUUUCUUGCAGAAGUAUUAAGACAACAAUGUGCACUAGGGCAAUUGAGGUAUGCAAUUCCUCAGUUAAAUGCUCUAACUUUUGUUAUAUUCUCAAUUUGGAUUUUAUUUCUGUUCAGUAGAUGCUCAGAAGCAUAGUGUCAGUAAAUCACAAGUGACUAAAAUUAAGUCAUUCUUUGAGCAGUUCCUUUUUUAGGAGCCUCUCCUUUGCCUAAAUCUUGGAGUUUAUUUUUGUUAAUCUACAUAGUUUUGUCUGCCAAAGAAUAUUGUUUCUCUAAAGUUUUUCCAUUUUCGUAAAGUUUAUUCAUGUAUGGAUUGUUAGUCUGACAACUAAAAGGUAGAACAAAUUGGUUAUUAGUUACUCAUAUCCCUUCAAAUCCCAUAGCAACAGCUUCACACUAAAAGGUACGUAGAACAAAUUGGUUGUUAGUACUUCUAUCUAUUUCUUUCAGAGAAGUUUAAUUGGUUAUAUUUUUUGACUGAAUUCUUCAUUGGUUAGUAGUGUUCUUAUUCAUUCUGGAGAAAUGUAGUUUUGAUCUCAGAAUUCCUCAUGAUUUAGUUUGCUUUUGCUUAAAUUUGAUUGAUUUUCUCAAACCCCAUCAGCAAGAUAUGAACUUUUUUGCUCCAUAUGUGUCAAUUUUUGAAGUUAUUGAUGAUUUUGACAGACAUGGUUUAUUGAGCUGGGUCCCCCAACUCCUAAAGAACAAAAUGCUUGCAUUCACAAGUAAAAAGGGCUUUAAUUAGCUGCUCUUUGUAUGAUUUCAAUUCUAUUAUUGAGGAAUUUGAAAGCUUUAAUUGCUUAUUAAGCCAGGUUAGGUGGCUUUAACUAUAAAGCUAAGUUCAGGGGAGCUACUGCCAAGUCCCUAUCUUUCCUACAAGAGCCAAGAAGAUAAGGGCCUCCCAAAAAAUGGUUUCUUAUGCAACCAUGUGUGCACUUUGGACAGUUUUGGAGACUUUUGAGAAGGGCAAGAGGACUCGUCAGGAUUGAAGGCAUUUUGGAAUAAAUUGGGCUUUGAUUGAUCCAAAGACCUCGGUUGAAGUUUUUGGUUUCUGUCAAGGAGUUGCUGCCAUGGGUCAUGAUGCCUCUUCAGAUAGUGUAUGUGAAUGAAAAUAAAAGUAGUAAACAGUCUAUGACCUCUUUUCGUUUUUGGGGUGGCACCCUUCAAGGUCAAUUGCUACUUAGUUCUUUUUCCAUUUUCUUUCGUCUCAGACCCUUCUGCAGUGGUCUUAAAUCAAUUGAAAAUAGUUUGCUAUUUA